Patella vulgata (common limpet) is the source of this 565-nucleotide long non-coding RNA. RefSeq lists it as uncharacterized. The record is from RefSeq and is a predicted model, not a curated record. The transcript has 2 exons. NCBI's taxonomy places the organism in Eukaryota, Metazoa, Mollusca, Gastropoda, Patellidae.
AUUCAUACCAUGUUAUAAACAUUUACAGGUUGUGUAACCGAUUCAUAAAUCGGGUCAGUUUGUACGUUGGAACAGCCAUAAGUUAAUAUGAUAGAAGAGCUUUUAGUUUAAGGGAUAGGUUAUUGUUAUUGUCUAAUAAUAUGAACUCUGUGAACUGUUGUAAUGUUUUUUUGAUGUAUGUUUUUUAUGUAUAUUAAUUUAUUAUGUUAUAAACUUCCAGGCUGCGCUACGCUUCGUAAAAUAGUAACCUAAAGCAUUGAUGUUAAAUUGUUUAAUAUCCCUGCGUAAUUAAUGCUCCCUGUGUCAGUCUUGCAAAUGGCUUUCCUAGAAACCAUGUUUUUUCGUUUUUGCGUGUGGUCAAGUUAACAGGCUCUUGGAGUUUUCACGUCUGUGUUACCGGCAUGUCUUUUAAUUCAAGUCUGGAAGUUCGAGUCUAAGUUGUUUGCGUUCAUCAUGAUUGUAUGAUAUUCUACGUUAGGCUAUUUCCAAUGUUUAUACGAUGAUAUCCUCGUCCGAUGUCAUGAAGCAUUAAAGAGACAAUGAAUAAAGAUAUGUAUAUGGUGUA